Molecule: transfer RNA, 69 nt
Filed under: Phytophthora nicotianae (black shank of tobacco agent)
Lineage: Eukaryota; Oomycota; Peronosporomycetes; Peronosporales; Peronosporaceae
Also listed under: 3 other names
Description: Phytophthora parasitica tRNA-Gly
Source: RNAcentral
UGCGCCGUUAGCCCAAUGGUUAGGAUUCAUCUCUCCCACGGAUGAGGUCGGGGUUCGAUUCCCGAGUAA